CUUUACUGUAGCUUUGUAUUGGACUUUGAACAGAUCUGUGUAGGAUAGGUGGGAGGCUUUGAAGUGAGGAUGCUAGUUCUCAUGGAGCCAACGUUGAAAUACCACCCUGGUGUGUUUGAGGUUCUAACCUUGGUCCAUUAUCUGGAUCGGGGACAGUGCAUGGUAGGCAGUUUGACUGGGGCGGUCUCCUCCCAAAGCGUAACGGAGGAGUUCGAAGGUACGCUAGUUACGGUCGGACAUCGUGACGAUAGUGCAAUGGCAUAAGCGUGCUUAACUGCGAGACUGACAAGUCGAGCAGAUGCGAAAGCAGGACAUAGUGAUCCGGUGGUUCUGUAUGGAAGGGCCAUCGCUCAACGGAUAAAAGGUA
This 367-nucleotide ribosomal RNA is filed under the name uncultured organism. Its description in RNAcentral is "bacterial LSU rRNA". It matches the Rfam family "Bacterial large subunit ribosomal RNA", at positions 2099 to 2465 of the family's 2925-position model. The record is from RNAcentral.